GAGUUUGAUCAUGGCUCAGAUUGAACGCUGGCGGCAUGCUUUACACAUGCAAGUCGAACGGCAGCACGAGUGCUUGCACUUGGUGGCGAGUGGCGAACGGGUGAGUAAUGCAUUGGAACGUGCCUUGUAUUGGGGGAUAACUGAGCGAAAGCUUAGCUAAUACCGCAUACGCCCUGAGGGGGAAAGCUGGGGAUCGUUUGACCUGGCGAUAUAAGAGCGGCCAAUGUCUGAUUAGCUAGUUGGUGAGGUAAAGGCUUACCAAGGCGACGAUCAGUAGCGGGUCUGAGAGGAUGAUCCGCCACACUGGGACUGAGAGACGGCCCAGACUCCUACGGGAGGCAGCAGUGGGGAAUUUUGGACAAUGGGGGGAACCCUGAUCCAGCCAUGCCGCGUGUCUGAAGAAGGCCUUCGGGUUGUAAAGGACUUUUGUUGGGGAGCAAAGGUAUCUGGUUAAGAGCUGGAGAUUAUGAGAGNCCCAA
Molecule: ribosomal RNA, 479 nt
Filed under: Aquaspirillum sp. canine oral taxon 091
Lineage: Bacteria; Pseudomonadati; Pseudomonadota; Betaproteobacteria; Neisseriales; Aquaspirillaceae
Description: bacterial SSU rRNA
Rfam family: Bacterial small subunit ribosomal RNA
Source: RNAcentral